This 140-nucleotide ribosomal RNA is filed under the name uncultured bacterium. Its description in RNAcentral is "partial 16S rRNA". It matches the Rfam family "Bacterial small subunit ribosomal RNA", at positions 355 to 507 of the family's 1533-position model. The record is from RNAcentral.
UGGGGAAUAUUGCGCAAUGGGCGAAAGCCUGACGCAGCGACGCCGCGUGAGGGAUGACGGCCUUCGGGUUGUAAACCUCUUUCAGCAGGGAAGAAGCGAAAGUGACGGUACCUGCAGAAGAAGCACCGGCUAACUACGUG